RNAcentral lists this ribosomal RNA (445 nucleotides) under uncultured bacterium. RNAcentral describes it as "bacterial SSU rRNA". It matches the Rfam family "Bacterial small subunit ribosomal RNA", at positions 29 to 507 of the family's 1533-position model. The record is from RNAcentral.
AACGAACGCUGGCGGCAUGCUUAACACAUGCAAGUCGAACGGAUAGCUUGCUAUCAGUGGCGCACGGGUGAGUAACACGUGGGAACCUACCUUUAGUUUGGGAUAACUUUGGGAAACUAAGGCUAAUACCGGAUACGCUUUGCAGCUUGGCGCUGUAAAGGAAAGAUUUAUCGCUAAAAGAUGGGCCCGCGGUGGAUUAGCUUGUUGGUGGGGUAAAGGCUUACCAAGGCAACGAUCCAUAGCUGGUCUGAGAGGAUGAUCAGCCACACUGGGACUGAGAUACGGCCCAGACUCCUACGGGAGGCAGCAGUGGGGAAUAUUGGACAAUGGGCGAAAGCCUGAUCCAGCAAUGCCGCGUGAGUGAAGAAGGUCUUCGGAUUGUAAAGCUCUUUCACGGGUGAAGAUAAUGACGGUAACCCGAGAAGAAGCCCCGGCUAACUUCGUG